UUUGUGACCUCGAGUCAGGUCUCAAGGGAUUUGAUUUGUGUCUCAUGUCAUACUAGUUUGAGAAACGCGGGAACUGUAUUCAAGUCUCUUGGUGCCCAAGCCCUGCCAUGAGCGCAUGUGUCUCUCGGAGAUGCAACGUCAGAUCAGACAUGGCGCCCCACUGAAUUUAAGCAUAUUAGUCAGCGGAGGAAAAGAAACUAACUAGGAUUCCCUCAGUAAAGGGUCUUGUUUUUUCAUAAAACAACAAGAGCUGAGACAACACUGACAAGAAUAAAAUCAACAACUAC
Molecule: long non-coding RNA, 287 nt
Organism: Erinaceus europaeus (western European hedgehog)
Lineage: Eukaryota; Metazoa; Chordata; Mammalia; Eulipotyphla; Erinaceidae
Exons: 3
Source: RefSeq, a predicted model, not a curated record